This 459-nucleotide ribosomal RNA is filed under the name uncultured bacterium. Its description in RNAcentral is "partial 16S ribosomal RNA". It matches the Rfam family "Bacterial small subunit ribosomal RNA", at positions 338 to 795 of the family's 1533-position model. The record is from RNAcentral.
CCUACGGGAGGCAGCAGUGAGGAAUAUUGGGCAAUGGACGAGAGUCUGAACCAGCCAAGUAGCGUGAAGGAUGACUGCCCUAUGGGUUGUAAACUUCUUUUAUAAAGGAAUAAAACGAGGCACGUGUGCCUUUUUGCAUGUACUUUAUGAAUAAGGAUCGGCUAACUCCGUGCCAGCAGCCGCGGUAAUACGGAGGAUGCGAGCGUUAUCCGGAUUUAUUGGGUUUAAGGGGUGCGCAGGCGGAGGUGCAAGUCAGUGGUCAAAUUGCGGGGCUCAACCCCGUACUGCCGUUGAAACUGCAUCCCUUGAGUGCGCGAGAAGUAUGCGGAAUGCGUGGUGUAGCGGUGAAAUGCAUAGAUAUCACGAAGAACCCCGAUUGCGAAGGCAGCUUACUAAGCUGUGACUGACAUUGAUGCUCGAAAGUGUGGGUAUCAAACAGGAUUAGAUACCCGAGUAGUC